This 253-nucleotide ribosomal RNA is filed under the name uncultured bacterium. Its description in RNAcentral is "partial 16S ribosomal RNA". It matches the Rfam family "Bacterial small subunit ribosomal RNA", at positions 524 to 776 of the family's 1533-position model. The record is from RNAcentral.
UACGUAGGGUGCAAGCGUUGUCCGGAAUUAUUGGGCGUAAAGAGCUCGUAGGCGGUUUGUCGCGUCGAAUGUGAAAACCCGGGGCUCAACCCCGGGCCUGCAUUCGAUACGGGCAGACUAGAGUUCGGUAGGGGAGUCUGGAAUUCCUGGUGUAGCGGUGAAAUGCGUAGAUAUCGUAAGGAAGACCAGUGGCGAAGGCGGGUCUCUGGACAGUUCCUGACGCUGAGGCACGAAGGUCAGGGGAGCAAACGGG